CUGGAGAAGGACUGCGCUGCAAA
This 23-nucleotide non-coding RNA is filed under the name Cricetulus griseus (Chinese hamster). The record is from RNAcentral. Lineage: Eukaryota; Metazoa; Chordata; Mammalia; Rodentia; Cricetidae.